This is a long non-coding RNA of Rhipicephalus sanguineus (brown dog tick), 389 nucleotides long. RefSeq lists it as uncharacterized. NCBI's taxonomy places the organism in Eukaryota, Metazoa, Arthropoda, Arachnida, Ixodida, Ixodidae. The transcript is spliced from 3 exons. The record is from RefSeq and is a predicted model, not a curated record.
GCUUCGCUGCUCAGCCAGCGGGUCGUGGCGUCACGCGACAUCGACGACAUCACCAACACCGAGGACGGCAGCGAGGACUUCAGCCAGAUCGCUUCGCUGCUGCAGACGUUCUCGUCCCAAAGCAACCAAGGAAAGAAGCUGCAAACUACCGGUCAGCGCAAGGCCCAGGGCUCGAUGGUGCUACCCGACAUUCCCGAGAAGAUCUCCCUCGAGGACUGGUCCGUCAAGGCGUGCUGCAUCGAGGACAUCGUCUACCCGAGCUCCCACAACAGGUCCUACAUAACCAACUCGGUCAUCACGACCUUCACGGAUCAGGCCUCGAGGGCGGAUGUCAGCGGGAGCAGCUUGCUCGAUUCGUCGUUCACCGAUUCCAGCUCCACACUGUCUGU